RNAcentral lists this ribosomal RNA (394 nucleotides) under Vibrio parahaemolyticus. RNAcentral's name for it is "bacterial SSU rRNA". It matches the Rfam family "Bacterial small subunit ribosomal RNA", at positions 1065 to 1459 of the family's 1533-position model. Lineage: Bacteria; Pseudomonadati; Pseudomonadota; Gammaproteobacteria; Vibrionales; Vibrionaceae. The record is from RNAcentral.
UUGUGGAAUGUUGGGAUGAGUCCCACAACGAGCGAAACCCUUAUCCUUGUUUGCCAGCGAGUAAUGUCGGGAACUCCAGGGAGACUGCCGGUGAUAGACCGGAGGAACGUGGGGCCGACGUCAACUCAUCAUGGCCCUUACGAGUAGGGCUACACACGUGCUACAAUGGCGCAUACAGAGGGCAGCCAACUUGCGAAAGUGAGUGAAUCCCAAAAAGUGCGUCGUAGCCCGGAUGGGAGUUUGCAACUCGACUCCAUGAAGUCGGAAUCGCUAGUAAUCGAGGCUCAGAAUGACACGGUGAAUACGUUCCCGGGCCUUGUACACACCGCCCGUCACACCACGGGAGUGGGAUGCAAAAGAAGAAGGCAGUUUCACGUUCGGGGGGAAGCUACAC